AUUCCAGCUCCAAUAGCGUAUAUUUAAGUUGUUGCAGUUAAAAAGCUCGUAGUUGGAUUUCGGGUGUCAUCUGCCGGUCCGCCGUUUCGGUGUGCACUGGCGGGCGUCAUCUUUCUGUCGAGGACGCGCUCCUGUCCUUCACUGGUCGGGACGCGGAGUCGGCGAGGUUACUUUGAAAAAAUUAGAGUGUUCAAAGCGGGCUUACGCUUGAAUAUAUUAGCAUGGAAUAACACUAUAGGACUCCUGUCCUAUUUUGUUGGUCUUCGGGACGGGAGUAAUGAUUAAGAGGAACAGUUGGGGGCAUUCGUAUUUCAUUGUCAGAGGUGAAAUUCUUGGAUUUAUGAAAGACGAACUUCUGCGAAAGCAUUUGCCAAGGAUGUUUUCAUUA
RNAcentral lists this ribosomal RNA (388 nucleotides) under Crustomastigaceae sp. Its description in RNAcentral is "partial small subunit ribosomal RNA". It matches the Rfam family "Eukaryotic small subunit ribosomal RNA", at positions 582 to 975 of the family's 1831-position model. The record is from RNAcentral. Lineage: Eukaryota; Viridiplantae; Chlorophyta; Mamiellophyceae; Dolichomastigales; Crustomastigaceae.